Molecule: ribosomal RNA, 32 nt
Filed under: Mycopappus alni
Lineage: Eukaryota; Fungi; Ascomycota; Leotiomycetes; Helotiales; Sclerotiniaceae
Description: partial 28S rRNA
Source: RNAcentral
AUGGUUGACCUCGGAUCAGGUAGGAUACCCGC